RNAcentral lists this ribosomal RNA (279 nucleotides) under uncultured bacterium. RNAcentral describes it as "partial 16S ribosomal RNA". It matches the Rfam family "Bacterial small subunit ribosomal RNA", at positions 506 to 784 of the family's 1533-position model. The record is from RNAcentral.
UGCCAGCCGCCGCGGUAAUACGGAGGGUGCAAGCGUUAAUCGGAAUUACUGGGCGUAAAGCGCGCGUAGGCGGCUUAGUAAGUCGGAUGUGAAAGCCCUGAGCUCAACUUGGGAAUUGCAUUCGAAACUGCUUGGCUAGAGUAUGGUAGAGGGAAGUGGAAUUCCGGGUGUAGCGGUGAAAUGCGUAGAUAUCCGGAGGAACACCAGUGGCGAAGGCGACUUCCUGGACCAAUACUGACGCUGAGGUGCGAAAGCGUGGGGAGCAAACAGGAUUAGAUA